GAUGAACGCUAGCGGCAGGCCUAAUACAUGCAAGUCGAACGGGAUCUGAGGGUAGCUUGCUGCCCGAUUUGAGAGUGGCGCACGGGUGCGUAACGCGUGAGCAACCUACCCAUAUCAGGGGGAUAGCCCGAAGAAAUUCGGAUUAACACCGCAUAAUAAUACGCUAACACAUGUUAAUGUAUUUAAAUAUUUAUAGGAUAUGGAUGGGCUCGCGUGACAUUAGCUAGUUGGUAAGGUAACGGCUUACCAAGGCGACGAUGUCUAGGGGCUCUGAGAGGAGAAUCCCCCACACUGGUACGGAGACACGGACCAGACUCCUACGGGAGGCAGCAGUAAGGAAUAUUGGUCAAUGGGCGCAAGCCUGAACCAGCCAUGCCGCGUGCAGGAUGACUGCCCUAUGGGUUGUAAACUGCUUUUGUUAGGGAAUAAACCUACUUAUGUAUAAGUAGCUGAAUGUACCUAAAGAAUAAGGAUCGGCUAACUCCGUGCCAGCCGCCGCAGUAA
RNAcentral lists this ribosomal RNA (504 nucleotides) under uncultured bacterium. Its description in RNAcentral is "partial 16S ribosomal RNA". It matches the Rfam family "Bacterial small subunit ribosomal RNA", at positions 28 to 523 of the family's 1533-position model. The record is from RNAcentral.